CCCUUAGACGUUCUGGGCCGCACGCGCGCUACACUGACACAGGCAACGAGCUUUCCUUUACCGAAAGGUAUGGGUAAUCUUUUGAAACUGUGUCGUGCUGGGGAUAGAUCCUUGCAAUUUUUGAUCUUAAACGAGGAAUUCCUAGUAAGCGCGAGUCACCAACUCGCGUUGAUUACGUCCCUGCCCUUUGUACACACCGCCCGUCGCUACUACCGAUUGAAUGGCUUAGUGAGGCCUCAGGAUCCGCGCUUAAUGUGUGGAGAAUUUGGACAAACUACGUCAUUUAGAGGAAGUAAAAGUCGUAACA
This 307-nucleotide ribosomal RNA is filed under the name uncultured eukaryote. Its description in RNAcentral is "partial 18S ribosomal RNA". It matches the Rfam family "Eukaryotic small subunit ribosomal RNA", at positions 1470 to 1796 of the family's 1831-position model. The record is from RNAcentral.